This 2804-nucleotide long non-coding RNA is filed under the name Daphnia pulex (common water flea). RNAcentral describes it as "uncharacterized LOC124188556, transcript variant X5". Lineage: Eukaryota; Metazoa; Arthropoda; Branchiopoda; Diplostraca; Daphniidae. The record is from RNAcentral.
AGCUCGAGCACGACUACGACACAUGGCAGACAUUGUUGUUGGAUUUUCUGGUUAGUUUUCCAUUCUUUAUCGAAUUACAAGUGUAUUGCAUCGGAAUUUCUGAUUGGAUUAAUCAGAUUUAACAAGCUUCAAGUUAAGACUUAAGAAAGUUAACUUUACUGCCUGUCUCCACGUAAUCGUUGCCGUAUCAUGAAAAUGCCUCGAUGUUGACAGGGUUUCUACUACAGCUACAUUGACGACGAGAAUGAGAUGAAAACAGGAAAUCUGAAAUGGUAAUAGUGUAUGUAGUUGUAAGAUAAAUCAAGUGGUUUAUCAUUUAGUUUAAAUUUUGUCCAGUGGUGUCCCAUUUUACUUACACAUUUUCAUUGUUUAUUUUACUUAAGUUCAACAUCAUUUUUAUAUGUUGAAUAUAAGUGACAUACUGAACCACUUUUUCAGAAUAUUUGAAGUGGUUUUAGCACACAAGAAAACUGAUAUCCAAAUUAAAACAAAAUUAUUUUUUUAAAAUAGUACCAAGCAAUAGUGUUUACUAACUAAUGGUUGGUACUGACUGCUGGAGUUAAAGUUAAUUGGCGACAUCUCCAAGGUUUCACGUUUCAUUCUUAAAUAGUAGUUGUUGCCUGAUUGGUAAGUUUAAAUUAAAUUAAUUACAAGGCAUGUCGAUACCGAAAAGAUCGCAACCUGGUCUCUGAUGGCGCGCCAGUACGUUCCCUACCACACGUUCCUUUAUUUGGUUACAUUUGGGAUUUUCACUAGCCCGGUCGAAUUUUAGCUGCAUAACGAUCAAGAAAGUCUAAAACCUAAAUCCCAAACAACUUAUCUUUUAUCCUGUCUCUUGGAUUGUGAUUUUUUUCUGCAUAAAAAGUCAACAUAAAAAAAACAGUCUACCGGAAUUUGAGCAUUAAUAAAGGUAAGAAGGUGUGCUGAAGUGUUUUGUUAAUCAUAGAGAUUCUUUAGAUUUGUCAGUCGAUCUCGGAUCUGGAACGGGUUUUUUUAAAUUAAAGAUUCUAACACAAUUUUAUUUUUUAAAAUUAGUCGUUAAGCCCAGCCGGUUAUAAUCCUGAACAGUGAACAUUUUAUAUUCACAUUUCACACUUCACAGUCGAAUUUGCCGCUUUGGCUUUUAGCAAUUGCAGGGAUGCCAGAUGCGGACUUUUAAAUUGCAAAACUGAAAAUAUUGGCAAUGUUGCGCCUUGCGCGUUACUUUCAAGAUGGCUGCUUCAGUCUUACGCCAGCCUGUUCGGGUACUGCUACGACCUACGAGACAUAAUUCAACUCAACUUUCUCAACUUAUUUUCCCUGGCAUUAUUCGCCAUAAAAAUGAUAACAACAUAGUCUGCAAUUUAUACUUGGCAUUUGGCAAUUUCAUCUUAUCAUGUGGCCUGAAACUGCUGUUUCCCAAAAUGUCGUCUCUAGCUGCACGUAUCGGCUGUACGCUUCAGAACAGUAAAUCAUGGUGAAGUUUGAGCUUCUUCAUUGCAGUCCAAAGUGCUCAUUGAUUUGUUGAAGCCAGCUGGCCAAAGGUGUUGCGCUUACAGUCUUGCUACCUGUACCAGUUGGAGCUUUCGUCACACACUGAAACACUUCCAAACAAUUUAAAUAGGAUUAACAGUCGCUUGAAGUCUGAGCCUCUUUGUUGCAGUCCAAUAUGUACAUGAAUUUUGUGCAGCCAGUUGGAGAAUGGUGUGGUGAGCCGUUGCAUGCAGACUGGUGCUGGUGUCGUUCGUUCAUUUAACUAUGGACCGUUCAGUCGUUCGUUUAUCGUUUCCAUGGUCAGUUUUAUGUUUGAGCUGUUUGUGACGUCGCUGUUUGGGGUACAGUGGUUUUGCAGUCAUUUUCUAGUUGAGAGAUGCGCUGAAAUGGAGCUUGUGCGGACUUGCAGUUGAACAUCAUACUUUAAUGUGUUAUUUGCCUAUGUCGGUGUCCAUGCAGUCUAUGUAGUGUUGAACUGCUGUGGCAAAAUAAUCGAUAUUGCCUGAUGGCUGUCGGGCUUAUUUUAUCGGCAGCAUUUUGUUGAUAUGUUGUCUCUUGCUACCUAUACGGCUGUACCGCCAUUGAGUUGAUUCGUUUGCCGCCGUUCCCUAGACUUUAAACACCGGAGGGUCAUAAGCUGGAAGCCUUCUAUGACACACUGCUCUCAUAAUAACUGCUCCUCGGCUCUCUUCGCUCUUUUUCCGGUUUCUCUUAACCAUGGCCGGGUAAUCUCCCUGGUCGAGUCAGUCGGGCAGUGUCUCCCCCUGCUUGACUGGCUGCUGUUUGUACUGGACGGUUUGUUUAAUAAAUAAAACAAGUAUAAAAAACCAUAUAAUGUUUUCAUUUUAUAAAUUGUUAUUAAUUAAUUAAAUAUAAAUAGGUAACAACUUGAUUAACAAGCAUAUUUAUGUAACGUUGUUUAUUAAACAGACCGUCCGAUACAAACUCUUAGUUAGUACUAUUGCUCAAAAACUGAUUCUCUUGAAUCAGCAGACUCGAGUGUUUAUAGCGCCGCCAAGAAGCUGUGUUGUGUGUGUUGAUCGUCUCCACCAUGCACGCGAUAAUCAAGACCAGCAACGUCUUGAUCAAGGAGAAGCAAAGAACGACGAUGUAACUACUAAAUAGCGGGGUGGGUACCGCUAAAUUCAUUCUUAGUUGAAUGUCGAAUCGCUAAUAGCAUUGUUGGUUAUGGUAGAACAGUUUUCCACACUGGUACGCUGUAUGACGUCGAGCAUUGCCAAAAUGGAAGUGAUCUUUGAAGAACUGAGCGUCUUCAAAGCCAGCAAUGUUUCUUUUUUAAAAUUACUGUGGUAAUAAUUCAAGAUGAUGAA